UACGGAGGGGGCGAGCGUUGUUCGGAAUCACUGGGCGUAAAGCGCGCGUAGGCGGCUUUGCAAGUCAGGGGUGAAAUCCUGGGGCUCAACCCCAGAAUUGCCUUUGAAACUGCAAAGCUAGAGUGUCGGAGGGGAUAGCGGAAUUGCUAAUGUAGAGGUGAAAUUCGUAGAUAUUAGCAGGAACACCGGUGGCGAAGGCGGCUAUCUGGACGACAACUGACGCUGAGGCGCGAAAGCGCGGGGAUCAAACAGG
Molecule: ribosomal RNA, 253 nt
Filed under: uncultured bacterium
Lineage: Bacteria
Description: partial 16S ribosomal RNA
Rfam family: Bacterial small subunit ribosomal RNA
Source: RNAcentral